AUGGAGUAAUGUUCAUAAAAAAAAAUUAAACGUAUCGUGUAUUUAAAGACAUUUUUUUUUCUGUUUGCGAAUUUAUUUGAUACAAAACGAUGUAUGUUUUUGCUCGUAAAUUUUUAAAAUUGUGCAAAGCAUAUAUAUACUAUAUUUACUGAUGAUACAUAAUAUUGUUUGUUUCAGCUAAUAGUAUGUAUAUUAUUAUUUACACACUGCAGAGUUCCCUAAAUUAAGUCAUUAAAAUGUCAUUAUCUCUUUCAUAAUUUUACUAUUAUUGAAAUACGCUACCACAGAAUAAUAUUAAUGUUAAAAUUAAAUCAACAUAUAAUUUAUAUCAUUUUGUAGGCACAACCUAGGGCUAUCGGCGGGAAAAGUCCGGCACAAGUGCGAACACUCGCACGGAUCGCCAAAAGACUCUUCCAUGGCCUAAAGGUAAAUAAUA
Long non-coding RNA from Cydia pomonella (codling moth), 436 nucleotides. RefSeq lists it as uncharacterized. NCBI's taxonomy places the organism in Eukaryota, Metazoa, Arthropoda, Insecta, Lepidoptera, Tortricidae. The record is from RefSeq and is a predicted model, not a curated record. The transcript is spliced from 3 exons.